This 492-nucleotide ribosomal RNA is filed under the name uncultured bacterium. RNAcentral describes it as "partial 16S ribosomal RNA". It matches the Rfam family "Bacterial small subunit ribosomal RNA", at positions 29 to 507 of the family's 1533-position model. The record is from RNAcentral.
AGUGAACGCUGGCGGUAGGCCUAACACAUGCAAGUCGAACGGCAGCACAGUAGGAGCUUGCUCUUACGGGUGGCGAGUGGCGGACGGGUGAGGAAUACAUCGGAAUCUACUUUUUCGUGGGGGAUAACGUAGGGAAACUUACGCUAAUACCGCACACGACCUACGGGUGAAAGCAGGGGAUCUUCGGACCUUGCGCGAUUGAAUGAGCCGAUGUCGGAUUAGCUAGUUGGCGGGGUAAAGGCCCACCAAGGCGACGAUCCGUAGCUGGUCUGAGAGGAUGAUCAGCCACACUGGAACUGAGACACGGUCCAGACUCCUACGGGAGGCAGCAGUGGGGAAUAUUGGACAAUGGGCGCAAGCCUGAUCCAGCCAUACCGCGUGGGUGAAGAAGGCCUUCGGGUUGUAAAGCCCUUUUGUUGGGAAAGAAAAGCAGCAGGUUAAUACCCCGCUGUUCUGACGGUACCCAAAGAAUAAGCACCGGCUAACUUCGUG